AUUGAACGCUGGCGGCAGGCCUAACCCAUGCAAGUCGAACGCGUGGCGGACGGGUGAGUAAUGUCUGGGAAACUGCCUGAUGGAGGGGGAUAACUACUGGAAACGGUAGCUAAUACCGCAUACCAUCAGAUGUGCCCAGAUGGGAUUAGUUGGUUGGUGGGGUAACGGCUCACCAAGGCGACGAUCCCUAGCUGGUCUGAGAGAAUGACCAGCCACACUGGAACUGAGACACGGUCAAGAGUCCUACGGUAGGCAGCAGUGGGGAAUAUUGCACAAUGGGCGCAAGCCUGUGGCAGCCAGGCCGCGUGUAUGGAGAAGGCCGUCGGGUUGUGAAGUACUUUCAGCGGGGAGGCGUUACCCGCAGAAGAAGCACCGGCUAAGUCCGUGCCAGCAGCCGCGGUAAUAC
RNAcentral lists this ribosomal RNA (406 nucleotides) under uncultured bacterium. RNAcentral describes it as "partial 16S ribosomal RNA". It matches the Rfam family "Bacterial small subunit ribosomal RNA", at positions 30 to 526 of the family's 1533-position model. The record is from RNAcentral.